Molecule: ribosomal RNA, 234 nt
Filed under: uncultured bacterium
Lineage: Bacteria
Description: partial 16S ribosomal RNA
Rfam family: Bacterial small subunit ribosomal RNA
Source: RNAcentral
GAUCAUAGCUCAGGAUGAACGCUAGCGACAGGCUUAACACAUGCAAGUCGAGGGGCGGCACAGGUAGCAAUACCGGGUGGCGACCGGCGCACGGGUGAGUAACGCGUAUGCAACUUACCUAUCAGAGGGGGAUAACCCGGCGAAAGUCGGACUAAUACCGCAUGAAGCAGGGGUCCCGCAUGGGGAUAUUUGCUAAAGAUUCAUCGCUGAUAGAUAGGCAUGCGUUCCAUUAGG